AGAGUUUGAUCCUGGCUCAGGACGAACGCUGGCGGCGUGCUUAACACAUGCAAGUCGAGCGGAAAGGCCCUUCGGGGUACUCGAGCGGCGAACGGGUGAGUAACACGUGAGUAACCUGCCCCAAACUUUGGGAUAACCCUCGGAAACGGGGGCUAAUACCGGAUAUGACACAGCUUCGCAUGGGGUCUGUGUGGAAAGUUUUUCGGUUUGGGAUGGGCUCGCGGCCUAUCAGCUUGUUGGUGGGGUAACGGCCUACCAAGGCGACGACGGGUAGCCGGCCUGAGAGGGCGACCGGCCACACUGGGACUGAGACACGGCCCAGACUCCUACGGGAGGCAGCAGUGGGGAAUAUUGCGCAAUGGGCGGAAGCCUGAUGCAGCGACGCCGCGUGAGGGAUGACGGCCUUCGGGUUGUAAACCUCUUUCAGCAGGGACGAAGCGCAAGUGACGGUACCUGCAGAAGAAGCGCCGGCCAACUACGUGCCAGCAGCCGCGGUAAGACGUAGGGCGCGAGCGUUGUCCGGAUUUAUUGGGCGUAAAGAGCUCGUAGGCGGCUUGUCACGUCGACUGUGAAAUCCCGCGGCUCAACUGCGGGUCUGCAGUCGAUACGGGCAGGCUAGAGUUCGGUAGGGGAGACUGGAAUUCCUGGUGUAGCGGUGAAAUGCGCAGAUAUCAGGAGGAACACCGGUGGCGAAGGCGGGUCUCUGGGCCGAUACUGACGCUGAGGAGCGAAAGCGUGGGGAGCGAACAGGAUUAGAUACCCUAGUAGUCC
RNAcentral lists this ribosomal RNA (771 nucleotides) under uncultured bacterium. Its description in RNAcentral is "bacterial SSU rRNA". It matches the Rfam family "Bacterial small subunit ribosomal RNA", at positions 8 to 796 of the family's 1533-position model. The record is from RNAcentral.